RNAcentral lists this long non-coding RNA (273 nucleotides) under Elaeis guineensis (African oil palm). Its description in RNAcentral is "long non-coding RNA (EGUI_LNC018960)". The record is from RNAcentral. Lineage: Eukaryota; Viridiplantae; Streptophyta; Magnoliopsida; Arecales; Arecaceae.
UUAUAUCGGGGUAUGCAUGUAUAUUUUAAAAUUUUAUUUUUUAAAUAUCACGGUGAAAUAGAAAAUUAAAAUUCUUUUUAAUCUACAUCAUGCAUGCAUAAAACAUAAACUACAAGGAUCUACUUCAUAUGCUGAAAUUGAACAUAUGCUGAAAUUUAAUAUGUGAUCGAAUCAAAUAUCUGUUUUGUAAUUUUUUUCUUCAAAUCUACAUCUGAAAAAAAAGAGGCUUUCUCUUAGCCGCGUAAGUAUCCGAUCUCUAUGGGUAUCCACUCA